CCUACGGGUGGCAGCAGUGAGGAAUAUUGGUCAAUGGGCGCGAGCCUGAACCAGCCAAGUCGCGUGAGGGAAGACGGUCCUAUGGCUUGUAAACCUCUUCUGUCGGGGAGCAAAAGACGCCACGCGUGGCGUUCCGAGAGUACCCGAAGAAAAAGCAUCGGCUAACUCCGUGCCAGCAGACGUGGUAAUAAGGAGGAUGCGAGCGUUAUCCGGAUUUAUUGGGUUUAAAGGGUGCGCAGGGGGAAGAUCAAGACAGCGGUACAAUUGAGAGGCUCAAACUCUUCGAGCCGGUGAAACUGGUUUUCUUGAGUGAGUGAGAAGUAUGCGGAAUGCGUGGUGUAGCGGUGAAAGGCAUAG
This 357-nucleotide ribosomal RNA is filed under the name uncultured bacterium. RNAcentral's name for it is "partial 16S ribosomal RNA". It matches the Rfam family "Bacterial small subunit ribosomal RNA", at positions 338 to 693 of the family's 1533-position model. The record is from RNAcentral.